ACUAGUAUUGAAGUCCACGGGGAUCAGGCUUUCCGAAAGGAGGGUGGGGGGAUGUUUGGUUCCCCCUGCUUGGGCAGACUGGAGAGCAUUGUGUAGCCACUUUUGUUGGCUACGUUAUGUUUGGCCUCUGCUGAUCGAGCUUGUCACCUGAAUUCUACUACCCUUGCUUUUUGCGCACCCAUCGUUUCCUCGGUAGGCUUGCCUGCCAGUAGGACCAUUUAAAACCCUUUGUGAUUGCAAUCAGCGUCAGAAACAACGUAAUCGUUA
Molecule: unclassified non-coding RNA, 267 nt
Filed under: soil metagenome
Description: partial internal transcribed spacer 1
Source: RNAcentral